Molecule: ribosomal RNA, 545 nt
Filed under: uncultured bacterium
Lineage: Bacteria
Description: partial 16S ribosomal RNA
Rfam family: Bacterial small subunit ribosomal RNA
Source: RNAcentral
UGGGGAAUUUUGGACAAUGGGCGAAAGCCUGAUCCAGCAAUGCCGCGUGUGUGAAGAAGGCCUUCGGGUUGUAAAGCACUUUUGUCCGGAAAGAAAUCCUUGGCUCUAAUACAGUCGGGGGAUGACGGUACCGGAAGAAUAAGCACCGGCUAACUACGUGCCAGCAGCCGCGGUAAUACGUAGGGUGCAAGCGUUAAUCGGAAUUACUGGGCGUAAAGCGUGCGCAGGCGGUUUGCUAAGACCGAUGUGAAAUCCCCGGGCUCAACCUGGGAACUGCAUUGGUGACUGGCAGGCUAGAGUAUGGCAGAGGGGGGUAGAAUUCCACGUGUAGCAGUGAAAUGCGUAGAGAUGUGGAGGAAUACCGAUGGCGAAGGCAGCCCCCUGGGCCAAUACUGACGCUCAUGCACGAAAGCGUGGGGAGCAAACAGGAUUAGAUACCCUGGUAGUCCACGCCCUAAACGAUGUCAACUAGUUGUUGGGGAUUCAUUUCCUUAGUAACGUAGCUAACGCGUGAAGUUGACCGCCUGGGGAGUACGGUCGCAAGA